AUGACAAUUUGACCUCAAA
RNAcentral lists this ribosomal RNA (19 nucleotides) under Chromocyphella muscicola. Its description in RNAcentral is "partial 28S ribosomal RNA". Lineage: Eukaryota; Fungi; Basidiomycota; Agaricomycetes; Agaricales; Chromocyphellaceae. The record is from RNAcentral.